RNAcentral lists this transfer RNA (67 nucleotides) under Marmota monax (woodchuck). RNAcentral describes it as "tRNA.Ala". The record is from RNAcentral. Lineage: Eukaryota; Metazoa; Chordata; Mammalia; Rodentia; Sciuridae.
GGUUGUAGCUCAGUGGUAGAGCACUUGCCUAGCAUGUGUGAGGCACUGGGUUUAAUACUCGGCACCA